Molecule: ribosomal RNA, 240 nt
Filed under: uncultured soil bacterium
Lineage: Bacteria
Description: partial 16S ribosomal RNA
Rfam family: Bacterial small subunit ribosomal RNA
Source: RNAcentral
AGAUUGAACGCUGGCGGCAGGCCUAACACAUGCAAGUCGAGCGGUAGAGAGGUGCUUGCAUCUCUUGAGAGCGGCGGACGGGUGAGUAAUGCCUAGGAAUCUGCCUAGUGGUGGGGGAUAACGUUCGGAAGCGGACGCUAAUACCGCAUACGUCCUACGGGAGAAAGGCGGGGGACCUUCGGGCCUCGCGCCAUUAGAUGAGCCUAGGUCGGAUUAGCUAGUUGGUGAGGUAAUGGCUCA